CCUGCUCCGACUUCCCCCUUUGAUUUAUUAUAGCCAUGAAAUGCUCUGCUGUCUUCUCUUUUCCUUGCUGUCCCCGGGGCUGGAGGAGAACAGCCUCCCCGGGAGCGGGCCUUGGCCUUGCUGGACUCCUGUCGCCUUCUGAGGGCUGGGCCAGGGAGACCAGAAACAAGAGGAGGCUGUGGAGAGGCCCAGGGUGGGAGCUCGGAGGGCUGAGGACAGGGCCGAGCUUCCUCCCUGCAGCGGGAUGCAGGGCCUAUCACACACAGACAGCCACGUGCUACCUCAUCCAGUUCAUGCAAUCCCACCAGUCUCUAGAGCUUCCAAGAUUUUUGGUUUCAAACCAAUUUCCUGCUGACCAGAAUGAAAUGAAGCCACAUUCCAGCGUGGUGCACCUGCUGGCCUCCUGA
This 407-nucleotide long non-coding RNA is filed under the name Aotus nancymaae (Ma's night monkey). Its description in RNAcentral is "lncRNA (ENSANAG00000039483.1)". Lineage: Eukaryota; Metazoa; Chordata; Mammalia; Primates; Aotidae. The record is from RNAcentral.